Molecule: transfer RNA, 69 nt
Filed under: Ictidomys tridecemlineatus (thirteen-lined ground squirrel)
Lineage: Eukaryota; Metazoa; Chordata; Mammalia; Rodentia; Sciuridae
Description: Spermophilus tridecemlineatus (thirteen-lined ground squirrel) tRNA
Rfam family: tRNA
About the family: Transfer RNA (tRNA) molecules are approximately 80 nucleotides in length. Their secondary structure includes four short double-helical elements and three loops (D, anti-codon, and T loops).
Source: Rfam by way of RNAcentral
GGGGCUGUAGCUCAGUGGCAGAGUGCUUGCCUAGCAUGCAUGAGGCACUGGGUUUGAUCCUCAGCACCA